This 476-nucleotide unclassified non-coding RNA is filed under the name Hevea brasiliensis (rubber tree). The record is from RNAcentral. Lineage: Eukaryota; Viridiplantae; Streptophyta; Magnoliopsida; Malpighiales; Euphorbiaceae.
UUUGCCUUACCUGCUAAGCUUAAUUUCUAUUUCUGUUUCGUUUUGAUUCCAAUACAAAACCCUCCUCUUUUGUCUCUCGAAUCUUCUUAGCUUCGCCUUCUCAAUCACACCCACCCAUAUGUAGAAGAUGAUGCUUUCAUUUAUAUAGACACUGCUGCAAUUCAAAUUCUGAGGAGAGGGAGGUGUUUUGGUUUAGAUUUGGACGAAGAAAUGGAUAAGAGUAAGAAGAAAGAACUAAUUCGAUUGGAAAGGGAAUCUGUAAUUCCAAUUCUCAAGCCUAAGCUCAUCAUGACAUUGGCCAACCUCAUUGAACAUAGUUCUGACCGGGCUGAAUUUCUAAAACUAUGCAAGAGAGUUGAGUACACAAUUCGAGCUUGGUAUCUUCUGCAGUUUGAAGAUUUGAUGCAACUAUAUUCCCUGUUUGACCCAGUAACUGGGGCUCAGAAAUUGGAGCAGCAGAAACUAUCUCCUGAAGA